RNAcentral lists this ribosomal RNA (119 nucleotides) under Peromyscus maniculatus bairdii (prairie deer mouse). Lineage: Eukaryota; Metazoa; Chordata; Mammalia; Rodentia; Cricetidae. The record is from RNAcentral.
GUCUACGGCCAUACCACCCUGAACGCACCCGAUCUCGUCUGAUCUCGGGAGCUAAGCAGGGUCGGGCCUGGUUAGUACUUUGAUGGGAGACUGCCUGGGAAUACCCGGUGCUGGAGGCU